GGAUCGAUAUGUUGGUCGUGCCUUGGUACGUACUAGUAUUAUUGGUUUCUCCCUUCUGAUGAAUCAUGAUGUCAUUAAUUUGAUGUCAUGGGGAAUCAGGACUGUUACUUUGAAAAAAUUAGAGUGUUUAAAGCAGGCUCGCGCUUGAAUACAUUAGCACGGAAUAAUGAAAUAGGACGUUUGAUUCUAUUUUGUUGGUUUCUAGGAUUGAUGUA
RNAcentral lists this ribosomal RNA (215 nucleotides) under Campeiostachys nutans. RNAcentral's name for it is "Elymus nutans partial small subunit ribosomal RNA". The stretch from base 46 to 215 matches the Rfam family "Eukaryotic small subunit ribosomal RNA", at positions 693 to 864 of the family's 1831-position model. Lineage: Eukaryota; Viridiplantae; Streptophyta; Magnoliopsida; Poales; Poaceae. The record is from RNAcentral.